RNAcentral lists this long non-coding RNA (461 nucleotides) under Lotus japonicus. Its description in RNAcentral is "long non-coding RNA (LJAP_LNC000431)". The record is from RNAcentral. Lineage: Eukaryota; Viridiplantae; Streptophyta; Magnoliopsida; Fabales; Fabaceae.
UCAUCCUGGUCAACAACUCCUAAUCACACCUCUAGUGCUACAAACCCUAGUCAGCAACCCAUAACCACACAUGCACUAUCCUAGUCAACAAACCCUAAUCACUCUCAUAAGGUCAUCAUAAUCCUAUUAACACAACCUUUGCUAAUGGGCCUUAAUUAUCAUAAUCCUAUUAACACACAACCUUUGCUAAUGGGCCUUAAUUAUCAUAAACCUAUUAGAACACACAACCUUUGUUAAUUGGCCUUAAUCUUUCAUAAACACAAAACUUUUACCUAAAAUCCUAACUAAUUUGUAACUUCAUUACGUAAUUGUAUAAUUAGCUAAUAAACAAUCAUUAUUUAACUAAAUAAAAAUAUGUGUGAUUUUUUAAAUAAAAACCCACAUAUAUUAUUAACAUUAAAUUUUGUUUCGGAGGUCAUUAUUAGGAGAUUUUUCCGAAAAAAAAAUUACUCCAUCUCAUC